UUUCUUAUAAAAUUUGUUAAUUCAUAUUUAAAUGAUUUUAUGUCCUCAGAUUUAAAGGAUACAGACAAAAUUAAGAUCUUGCCACCCCAAAUCAGCAUAAUAUUUUACUGUUUUUACUGCACACACACACACACACACACACACACACACACACACACACACACACACACAGCUACAAACAUAUGGGCCAAAUGGUCAUUUUUAAAACAAUAUUUUUAUGAAUUCUUUAAUUUCAAACAAUUUAUUUUGAAUACAUUCAUCACUUUCUCAGCUCCUAUCAGAGCCACCCUGUCUGCCCUUGCAUCCCUCCCAACCCAGAUUUUACUUUUUUUCCUUCCUCUCCUCUAUGCCCAUUGAGUAUAAUUGUUUCACCUAUUUUAUCUUGGAGGCAGACCUUCUGUGGUAUCUAGUCAACAAACUAGGGUUUACAUCGGUAAAGAAAACUGUUCCUCUCCCUUCAGCAAUCAGAUGUCAACAACUUCUGUUGGGGCAGGGUUUCAUGUCCCCAUUCUCUGCUCAGUGAGCUGUGCAUUAUUCUUGCUUGUAUUUGUCCAGAACUUUUAAACAUAUUGUCAAUUGAGAAAAUAAUUUUAGGAAGGCAGGUAGAAAGGAUACUUCAAACCAAAAGGCAUGGAUUUUAUGAUGUCAUUAAUCAUGGUGGUAUCUCAUGAUGAUGAAGGCAUUUUAAAUCCAAUAUGCUUUUUUUUUCAAGUAUAUGAGUCACUUAAUAAAUUAAUGCCAAAUUAAUUCAGAGUUGUAAAUCUCAGUAAAAGAAAAUAUCCGUAUGUUGGAUCACACAGUGAAUCAGGACAAAUUAGCUAAAAGUUCUGUUAUUCCUUCCAGAAGGUCACUGUGUAAGGGAAUUCAUUUCACAUGUAAGGAAAUCAGUGUCAAGUGGCGCUUACCUCUGUUCUUCUGAAACAUCCUACAUCUCUUGUCCUUCGUAAGGAUUCCUUCCCUCAGUUAUCCAAGCAUCUAUAUACAGAUUUGCUACAUACUUGGCAUUUUUUAUUUUUCUGUACUGUAUCAACCAUCGCUCAUCAUUUCUAUAUUUAUGUGUGUAUUCAUAAGGAGAGGGAGGGAGGGAGAGAGAGAGAGAGGGAGAGAGAUCUCAACUUGGAUUGUUCACCCAAAUGUUUAUGGGUCUCUAUGAAUUCAAUACAUUUGCCUCUUUUUAUCUAACUGAAAGGUGAGAGAACCUUAAUAAACCAUCAUCAAAAACUUCGCCAUCUCUACAGUUUACAAUUCUAAAUUAAAAUCUGAAAGUUUUAGGGAAGUAUUUUUAUUAUGCUACAUGAUAGAAAGAGUGUGUAUAUACUAGCAUAGUAUUUAUAGAUAUUGAUUUUGCUGUCAAUUAUUAAUUUUAUUAUGGCCUUGCUUGUUUAAUGAUAAUUGCUUCAAGUUUAAAAGCAAAACCACAAAAACAUUUUGGAUUGUUAUAAACAGCAGCAUUCCUUUAUUUAUUGCUUUUUGAAGUAGAACUUUAUCUUUCAGUUUGAAACAAAAUUUACAGAGUAUACAUUCAAUUUUUGUUUCUUAUAAAAACCAAUAAAAUUAUCUUUAUCAUUAUGCUUAAGUGUUCUAGGAUUACUCUAUACAAAUAUUUUUAUCAGUGAAAGAUUAAAUGUCUUUGCUUUAUUCUUUACUAGGAAACAUUAAUUCUUUUUUAUAGCUCAAUAUAUGUUUAUUUGGUAUGCUGACAUAUACUGUCUAGUGAUAUUCAAAUAUAUAUCCACUCAUCUAAUCCUGGAAUGUAUGUACACAUAUUUAGGAUAGCUCAAAUAUAUGUACUGCUGUGAGAUGUUAGGAAACUUCCAGAUUUCUCUCCAUCUGCAUUGUGCUGAAAAUGAAGCUCAUUGCAUCCAUCACAGUCUUUUAAGAAGCCGUGGAAUUGUUUAGUCAAGUUUCAAGUUUUCCUUUAAUGUUUUCAUGAAAUCUGAAGCAAAUGCCCAUAAUUGUGAGAACAGUACCAAGAAUGAAGGGCAGUAGGCAAUGGAGUCAGGUGAGGAAUUCCAAACUCUGUAGAUUAGCAUCAGGGUGCAGAUCAGAGUUUGUUUCCGGCACAUAAGCUUAUAUACAUGUAUUUGAGUCUAACCCAAUCCCCUAAAUUCUUGGCCAGUCAUAUCUUGCCAUGCCAUCACUGUGCCCCAUUGAAAGUCCUGCUUGAUGAGGUAACAGAAAAAUCUGGAGAUGGGGAGUGGGGGAGGCAUCUUCGCCUGUUAGGUCUUCCAUGAAGAUGGAGAAGCAGCCAACACCCUGGACCUUGGUUCUCUUUUGCUGUCUCAUCAGUGUUCUGGGAGCCAUCAAAGAUCUAAUGCCAUGAACAGCAGAUCAGAACUCUUCAAGGAGCCUUUGGCUCCUUGCUCUCCACCCCACUUUUUCCUUCAAAACGUUGACUUCCUCACCCCCCACACAUAUGCUAAUUCAGUGUGACCAUCGCUGGACCCUCCUUCUUCAGGGGUCUUAAAGAAAUCUACAUAUUAUUAUAUUUGCAAUCUUUGUGCAUGGGAGGAAGAGGGUACUUUCUACCCCGUGUUGCAGGUCGGUACUUGAGCUUGUUAGAUUUCACAUUGAAAGUUAAAAUUGUAUAGUCAAAAUAUUAUACUGAAUUUUCCAAGGUGUCAGUUCUCUUUAUUUUUUUUAGAAUGUAUUUGCUACAAGAUAUCUUAUCCUGCCAUGUGGCAGACCCUUCCACAGAUGAAAUGAGGAGGAUAUUAGUGAAUUCUCUAAUGAAAUAUAUAAUUUGUUAUAUCAUAAAUUGAAUUCAGUUAUUUAACAACCAACAAUUGACUGAUAACACUCUGUUCAAGUUAUGAAUAUUUGUAUAAGGCAUAAAAUUUAAUUUAAAUCUAAAUAUACAAAUUAAUCCUACUGGUAAAGGUAACUUUUAUUUAAAAGUCUAUAAAGCUAUUUCAUAGGCAACUAUAAAAAGGAUAGAAAAGUAAAUAAACACUAGAUAAGCAAUUAUAAUAAAGGCUGAAACACUUAUACUUUCCUGUGCUUCACAAAAUUCUAGACUAGCAGUCUUUAGUCAUGUGCAGUUCAUUUCUUUCAGCUGCAUGGUAUUCUAUUUCUAGGAAUCAAAGUGUAGAUAAGUUGACAGAGUGCAUACUCACAGGACUGUUGGAACCUCCAAGUGAGGCCUAUUAAUGUAAAUGUUAAAAUAAAUCAAAGGUGAAAUAAAACUGAAACAACUAGAGAAUUUUAUUAACAACUUUUCUCUUUUAAACAUUGACUACCGUUUUAUAAAUUUGCAUCUUUGUCUAUACAAUGGUUUUCUUGACUUUGUUUAUUAAUUGCAGAUAAAGGAAGAUAGCUGACUAGGACAAAAUACAUUGUAAGGCUGCUGAUAUUGUUCAGUUUCUUUCUAGUAAUAAACAUAACUUAUUGUAUAUUAGAUGCACAACUUUAAUUUAUGUAACAUAUAUCAUGCAUAUUAUGAGAGCUGUAAUUACACUAAUUAUAGUAUAAUAAUUACACGAACUAAUUUUGUUUCUGUUCCUUCUUACUUGGAAGAAAAUAUGCACUCAGUAAUAGUAUAGAUUUUGUUACUUUAACCUUGACAAGAACAUGUUGACCGUUUACUGCUUGAAUUACUUGCAUAUUAAAGCAAUGUGUAGAGCCCGCCAUCUCAGAAAGCCUUUUUGGCAGUUCAGUGUGAUGUGUACUGUUGCCUGACUACCCAUGUUCAUCUUAAUCCUGCCUGUUUAUUGCUGUCUGAGCAAAAGCAGAACGCAUGCUUCUGCAUUUCUGAAUUCCAACUGUUCUGGACCAAUUUUAGAACUCAUCCUUUUCUUUAUUCAUUAGGACAAACCAGCAACUACUUAUUCCAGGAGAAACUGGUAACAUUGUGAGGUUGCUAAUUCCUCAACCUGUCUUACUUGGCACAUAUUUCAUAUGAUUUGAGGUUGGAUUAGUGAUUUCAAGGGUAGUGCUGAAGAGGAUGUAGGCUAGCCCUUAUUGCUGAAAACACCACUUGGUAUGGAUGCUAGACUCAGGAUCUGAGCUUAAUCUGACAUGAAGGCCUCCUCCCUAUGAAAUAAUUUUCAUGUCCUGGAGUAGCUGUACCAGCUGGCAAAGAAGGUAAGCAUCCAACAGUGUUACCCAGUUUUGGAACUGACAAACUACAAUAACAAGCAUGGCAAAUUUACAUCUCUACAGAUACAUUGGUGGCAAUCGUAUUGUGAUAUUCAAAAGCUCUCUAAACCAUGAUUUUUAAUACUGUUGCUCAUUUUGUAUAUUGCUGUAAAAUUAUAUUCAAUAUUAUUUUAGUAAUUGUGCUGAGGAGCGAUUAUUGUUAAAAUGUCAAAUAAUUUAUAGACUAAAAUGAAGAUGAAAAGAUAUUUCAAUAAUAAAUGACUAAUCUGGAAAUAGAAAGAAAAUUUCAAACUGUAAACAAUACAAAUAGUAUACCAGAUGGGUUUCAUAGCAAUAUGCUGACUGCUGAGAAAAUAACAUGAGUUAAUAAUGUGGCAAAAGUUUCAGCAGGUUAAAUGAAAAAAUGUUUUCUACCCAACACUAUGUAACAGAGGUAGAUUUUUCUUUUUUUAUAUCCUAGAACAUCUGAAGAUCAGGCAUAAAGAUAGGAAGUCGGGGUCUUUGUUUAUCCUGCCUGUUCUUAGUAUGCACUGAGUGUUACAGAGAAACAAAACAAAACAAAAUACUGUCACAUAUGGGUAUAAAUUAUCCGGUUGUUAUCUUACCAUAUACAUGUUGCCCUCCUGUGCAAUGAUAACAUUCAACAAACAGUGAUAGCAUACAGGUUUUCAGACAAAGCUUUUGCAGUGGAGGUUGAAAAUUAUGUUUAUUUUUAAAACCUAUUCAUGUAUCCAGCUAUUUGGGAAGUAAAUAUUGAUAAGCAAUUUGCAUGUUCUUCAAAAGGUGUGUCUUUAUAACUAUAUAGAAAAACAAUAUUAGACUAGGUAUACUGAGUAUGCCAUCGUUGCUAUGUAUAUGACGAUGAUUCAUAAAUGGGGGAGAAUCAGUGUUUCUUGCUUUCAAUCACUGAUGGUUCUGUGUCAAAUCACUAUGAUUCUUUUAAGAGAUAAUCUUACUCAUCUUUCCCAUUCUCUCCCCCUAAAUAGACAAUCAAUUUGAAAGUUCCCUGAGGACAAUUGGAAGCAUUUAUAAGAAGCAAUGUGUAUUUCCUGCUUUGCCUUUUCCCAAAUGAAAUAAUCUUACAGAUUCAGCUACAGAAGCCAUAACUCACCAGCCAUUGCUGGCAUCUCUCUUUACUCAGGCUCCACAUAUCUUUUCCUGGUGUGUUGAUAUAAGGCACUUUAUUCAAGUAAUAGUUUAGUGUCAUUUGAGCUGGAGAAAUUUUCACUUUCUGCAUCAAAUCAGAGGUAUGGAGGAGGGACAGUAGUGAGAAGUUUAUAUAUCUCUAGGACUACUUAUAUCAUGUGUGCAGAACUCAAGGCAAAUAGGAGUCACCUAUCCAUUUCAAAUAUGUUGAAGUCAAGUAUGAGCAAUCAAAACAACCCAAAACAAUAUUGGUGGGUGUAUUACACCACUCAGUAGGGACAUGCAAAGACUUAUUCCUUAGAGAUAUUUAAGGAUUUUUGUUUCUCCUUUGGUAAUAGGAACACAUUUUUUCUAGAGAAAUUGAUAGAUUAAAAAAGGAGGUUGGGUAGUUGAGAUGACACAUAGAAUGUAUCACUAUGUUCUAACUGUCACACAUAUUGCAAGCUUGGGUUUAUUUCACCUUACGACAAAGCUUUGAGAAACAAGUUCUGUAUCUAGCUGUAGAAAAGGAUUGCCAAGAAACACACACACACACACACACACAAAUUAUUUAAUAGUAUGUGAUGACAUGCUUCUACAGUUGUUUCAGAAAAUGCUUUCUUGAUCUCUAAUUUUUUCUAAAAUCUGUGAUUUAUUAGAUCUAUUACUUUAAUGGAGCAAAGGGAACUUUAAUUUUAAGAAAAUGAAGAAACACCAUUGGAUGAAACUAAGCAGAUAUAACUACAAGCAGGUAAUUUUUAUUUUUAGAAAUGUACAUUUAUUCACUUGACAAAUGAUGCAGGUAUACUCUACCUACACAUCUGUCUCAUAAACUCAAAUAAAGCUAAGUUGGAAUAAGGUUUCUCUCUCCAUUGGGAAAAAAUAAGCUAGCUUUCUAAAUAUCACCAAUGAAUAAAAUUGCUCUAAAAAUAAAUAAAAGUAUAGAAUGUCUUCACUAAAGUUCUUAGCCAUGAAUAUCUUCUACUAGGGUGGUUGAAACACAAUCCCCAUUGACUAGCAUUUUAAAAUUUACUGUAGAAUAACCUUUGGAAGUUUUUGACUCCUGGAUGAAACUGAUGUAAGCACAAAAUGCUCUCAUGGGUGGUAGGGAUGAAAGGUACAGAUCUAAUUGCUCUUACAGAAGAAGACCCAAGACUAUGAUCUAGAAAACAAAAUAUCAUUAAAUACACAAAAAGUAGUCAUAAAAAAUUUAAAGUACAGGUCAAGGUGAAAUAUUAUUUCAUAAUAGAAAUUAACCAAUAAAACAUAUAGACUAUUAUCUACAUUAAUAUCCUUAAAUAUAUAAGACAAAAACUGGAGAGAUCAGUCAGCUGGUAAAGUGCUCUGCCAUGUAAGCAUAAGGAACCGAGUUUGGAUCUCCAGGACCAGAAUAUAACCAGGUGCUAUCGUGCUCACUAGCAUUCUCAGCACUACGGGUGCUGAUGGGCAGAAAGGAAAAAUCACAAGACUUACUGCUCAGCCAGCCGGACUUAAUGCUGGUACUGUGUCAGUGAGGGAUGGUGUCUCAAAUUCAUUUGGAGGGUGACAAAAAACUAGACAUUUGCCCUUCAAAUGUAUAUGUGUGUAUCAUGCAUACCUGCACAUUAUGCACUAUAUAGCUGUGCAUACCUGAACAAAUGUAUACAAUAUAUCACACAUAAAUAUAUAGAGAAAUAAACACAAAGGAAUUGAAAAAUACGUCAAAAUCAAAAGCAUCUUUAAAUACAUUCCUGUUAUAUUAGAAAUAAAACAAGUUGACUUUCUGGAUAUAGAAAGCAUGGUACUUGUACUUGUAGUAACUUUUAAAUGUAUUCAUCAUCAUUAUUAUUAAUUUAUUUAAUAUUUGUGGAUGUGUAUAUGAACACACAUUCCACAGCAAGGGCAUAAAGUCAGAGGAAAGCUUCCAGGGUUCAGUUGACUCUACCAUAUAGAACCAGUGCCUCAGGUCAUCAGGCUGGGCAGAAAAUGCCUUUAUCACUGAAUCAUGUUGCCAUCACCAAUAGCACAUCUUUAUAAAUGGAUUUAUUAUCUUGGGAAAAUGGAGAGUAGAUGAUACUAAAAUAAAAGUAUGGGAAGUGCUGGUUAAAGAUACAGAAUUGUAGUUACAUAGAAACAUUAAUUAAAAUCUAGAAACCUAAUAAUGAGUAUCAUGGCUCUAUGUGAAAGUUUCAGUUUUGGUACUCGAGGAGGACACUGAGGCAGACGGUUCUUCUGUAGUAAUAGAAUUACCAGAACCAUAAUUAAUGUCAUGAGCAGACAGUCAGACAGUCAGACAGUCAGACAGGUAGACACAGGCAGACAGGCAGACAGUCAGACACAGGCAGACAGGCAGACACAGGCAGACAGGCAGACAGGCAGACACAGGCAGACAGGCAGAUAGGCAGACACAGGCAGACAGGCAGACAGGCAGACAAACACAGUUUCUGAAAAGAGUUCAAGUACAUGCUGGCAAAAUGUCAAUUUCUUAAGUUUUUCCAGGAGAAAGAAUGGAAAUGAGAUUGAAAAAUCCCACAUUUUUGCUCCUAUGUAGACCAGGACUAGGAAUCAACUGGAGAUAAAUAGGACAGAGUGAACAAGAAUCUAGUAAAAAUUCAAGUUACUAAUUCUGGAAACCAAAUUGGCUUGUUUCCAGAAUUGUCACAAUACAACUGUAUGGAGAAACUUAGCACCAUGCCAUGGCUCUGUAUAGCAUGACAUACAUACAAUUGUCCAUCAGUGUCCAUGAAUGAUGAUUCCAGGAAACCCGCAUGGAAGGAAAUACGGAGUCUCAUGUUUCAGUGCUGAAUAGUAUUUAACAUGUCCUACACAUAUCCUUUCAAUGUUAUAAAUCAUUCUUACAUUGCUAUGGUAACUGAGACAAGUUUACUGCUAAGUAAACAUUAUAUUCUAUUGUUCAGAAUGACAAGGAAAAAAAAAAAAAACUUCUGACAUGGUUAGUACAGAUAAACUUUUCUAUAGAGGAAUUUUAAACCAUCGGCCUGUCUGUUUUGGCAAAGGAUUCCCUCUAAAAACUAUAUGGUCUAUAUGACCCACUUGGAAUGAAAACAUGCCCAGGAUUGCAGUAAGAUCUGGUUGAAAUAUACACCCUUAGUACAUGCCUUUAAUUCCUAAUAAUGAAAGUAAGGUUAGUUUGUAGAAGGAAGUUGCUGUGUUUAAAUGUGGGCAAAGUGAUGAAUGAGAGAAAAGUAGUCAGAGAUAGGAUAUGCCUAACUCACAUAAAAUAACAAGGAAAAUGGAUGAUACAUAAAAUGAGAGAGAGAGAGAGAGAGAGAGAGAGAGAGAGAGAGAAUACUGUGUGUUUAUAUAUAGCAGUUUGUUGGGACAGUUUUACAAAGACAGGAGAAGAAAAGAUGAACCAGAGGAUAAGAAGGAGCCAGAAAAUUGUACAUAUUGUCAAUGUGGUGACCAUGAGGACAAGAACAAUCUAGUCAAAAACUGAGAGAAGCCAUAUUGAAUCAGUCAGCUCAGAAUAUUAAAUUAUAUGGACUCAGUGAGCAGGAAAGUUAGUGAGGGAAGGGGAGCUAACCUGUAUGGUUCAGGCUGCUCAUUUAUGAUGAAGGGGGGCAGAGAGAUGAGGGGAGAAUGGAGGUAAAGAGGCAAUAGUAGGAAACUUAGGGCAGCUUGGCAUGCACCCAGAGGGCUCAGCAGGCAGGAACUUUAUUAACUUAUUAAAUGUUUUUCUACAAAAACUUUCAACAAUUCAGACCCAUAGAGACCAUUGUAACUGCAGAAUUUGUGACCUUAUUAUUUCUUCCUGUUGACAUCAAUAUAGAAGAAAACAUUGAAAGCUUAUUUUAUUUUCCUCUCAUGACUGACAUAAGACUUUUUAAUACCUUUAAGUAUAAAUUUAAUAAAAGCCUAGAAUAUCAAUUAGUGAAUUGUUUUAGUCAUAUUGGCCUGCAGGCAAGACUAUAGGAGCAUUUACUUGAUUGCCUAUUGAUGUUGGAGGCUACAGCUCACUGUGUGGGGAGUACCAUCCCUGGCCAGGUGAUUGUCAGCCUUAUAAAAGGAUGUUGAUAAUGAACCUGGAACCUGGGUUGUAACUUCGGAUCCUCCAUGUUCUUUACUUCAGUUCCUGCCUUAGGUUUCUUCUUUGGUGGCCUGCCUUGGCUUCAUUUGAUGAUGGAAUGCAGACUAUAAGAUGAGAUAAACCAUUUCUUUCCCAGGUUAUUUUGACAAAAAGUGUUUGUUUAGAGAAACAUGAAACAGACUCAGAGUCCCUGAAGCAGAUCAACAUGAACAGUAAAAGCUCCUACUUUCUCUGUGUCUAUGAAUACAGAGGAAGGAUAUGCUCAGAAAGGAACAGUUCUCCUGGAGCCCUAGAUGAUAUAGUCUACAAAGUCCAGGAAAUCUUCAAUACUACCUCAGCCUCAGAUAAACUACAAUGACUUCAUGAAGUCUUCAGAUCUUAAUUUCUAUGACUGACCACUGAGGAUAAUUGAUUAUAUUUGCUGUCCUCUCCCUCAUUUUGGCCAGUACUGCCUUAAUUAACUCUAAAACUAUAAGAUUUUCAUGUUCCACAGCUUUGCUAAAAUGAAGAUAGCGAACACUUGAAUCUAAUCCGGAACCUGAAUUUUUUCAAUUAUGAAAGUCUUAUAGUUAUGCCAAUGUUGUUGGUCCACACAGGCAUUUAAUUAACGUAUCUGAAAUAGGAAAAUAUUUUAAAGCAUUCUUAAAAUAAUUCUUUUAAUCAGUAUAUUUUAUUUAGUGAAUGUGCAAAUACUCAGUUCAUGAGAAAACAGCUGACAUGUAACUUUUCAAGAAAUAUUAAUUAUAGUACAUUCCUCUAAUUGCUUAAUAUAGUUAAUCUCACAUAUACACUGAAGUUAGUAAAGCUUUUAACCCACUUUUUGAAUGGAAUGAUAAAAGGGAUCAUGAUAUAUAGGAAGCAAAGACGUGGGUAACUAUGGAUUUGGUAGUUAUGAGACAUGUCUAUUUUUUUCAAUAAUUUAUUCAUUUUACAUCCUUUCACAGUUCCCCUCCAUUCUCUCCUUCCAGUCUUACCCUUACAAAAAUCCUUCCCAUCACUACCUCCUGCCCUUCUCCUCAGAAAAGGGAAAGCAGCCCUUGGGUAUCAGCCCACCCUGGAACAUCUAACCCCAGUGUAAGACUCUGAUGAGCCUUAACUUACCAGGGAUCCCACAAGUGAACAAUGCAGACCAGGAAUUGAUGCAAAAGCAAGAGGAAUUUAUUUUUCCAGUGUACUGGGGUCGUCCCAUACCCAAAAGAGAGCUGGCGACCCCUGGCAGUCCAUUUGGCAAGAUUUUAUACAGUCUCCAGGGGCAGAACAGAGCAUCAGCAACUAGGCACAAUAUGAUUGGUAGAACAGUGUCCCCUUUAAGCCUAUUGGUCUUUGGGGAAUGAGGUUGUUCGGACUUACUCAGCCUCUCCCUUCUGGUCUAUGUGCUCUUUGACCUGUCUUUCCCAAGAGGGGAGGGGUCCGGUAGAAUUUUCCAACAGCUCUAUGCUGACCUCUUCACCAUUCGGACUAAACACAUUCUCUCCCACUGAGACUCAACCAGGUUGUCCAGUUAGAGGAAGGGGAUCCAAUUGUAGGCAACAAAGUCAAGAGACUGCUCUUGUUCCAAUUGUUAGGGCAUCCACACGAAGUCCAAGCUGCACAUCUUCUACAAAUCUGUAAGGGGUCUAGGUUUAGCCCCUGCAUACUCUUUGGUCAUUCGGUCUAUAUGAGCCCGCAUGUACCCAGGUUAGUUGAUUCUGUGGGUCGUCUUGUAGUAGCCUUUACCCCUCCAACUUGUUCACUUCUAUCCCCCUCUCUUCCAAAGAACUAUCUGAGCUCCAUCUGAUGUUUAAAUGUGGGUCUCUGCAUCUGUUUCCAUCUGCUGGAUGAAGCCUCUUGGGCUACUAGAAUCCUAUGCUAGGUUCCUGUCUCUAAGCAUAGGAGAGUAUCUUGAAUAGUGUCAGGUGAAGGGACUCAAGUAGGUGCAGCUAUUUUUUUUAUUUAUUUAUUUAUUUAUUUUUUGCUUUUCCCUCAGUCUCUGCUCCAUAUUUAUUCCCGUGCAUCUUGUAGGCAGGACAAAUUUUGGUUUGAAGGUUUUGUGGGUAGAUUGAUGUUCCCCUUGUUCCCCUCCCUCCACUAGAAGUCCUGCCUGGCUACAGGCAGUAGCCACUUCAGUCUCUUUAUCCCAUGCUGGUAGGAAUCUCAGCUAGGGUCAUGUUCAUAGACUUCUUCAAGCCUGUCCCAGGCUCCAGCUAGUCCCAGAGGUGCCUUCCCCCAUUUCCGUUAUCAAUCCCAGCAUUCUCUUGCCCCUUUUCUCCACAUUUGAUCCCCAUCUUAAUUUCCCUCCUCACCUUUUCUCCAACCCAUUUCCCUUUCUUCAUCCAUCUCUGAUGACUAUUUUGUUUCCCCUUCUGACUGAGUUUCAAGCAUCCUCACUUGGGCCCUCUUUCUUACCCAGUCUCUUUGUCUCUGUGAAUUGUAGUAUGGUUAUCCUGCGGUUUAUAACUUAUAAGUAAGUAUAUGUCAUACAUAUCUUUGUGGGUCUGAGUUACCUCACUCAGGAUGAUAUUUUCAAGUACCAUCUAUUUGCCUUCAAAUUGUCUUUGUUUUUUAAUAACUGAAUAUCAUUGCAUUGUGUAGCUAUGCCACGUUUUCUUUAACCAUUCUUCAGUUGAGAGACAUCUAGGUUACUUUUAGUCUCUGGCUAUCACAAAGUUACUCUGAAUAUAGUUGAGCAAGAAUUCCUGUGGUAUAGGGGAGCAUCUUUUCGGUGUAUGCCAAGGAGUGGUGUAGCUGUGUCUCGGGGUAGAACAAUUUCCAAUUCUCUGAGAAGACAACAAAUUGGUUUCCAAAGUGGUUGUCCAAGUUUUUACCCCAACAACAAUUGAAGAGUGUUACCCUUUCCCCAUAGUCCCACCAGCAUGAGCUGUCACUUGAGGUUUUGAUCUUAGCCAUUAACACUUCCAAGCCAAUCAGCUCUGAUCAAAAUUAUCUAAAUCUCAAGUACUUCAGCUGAGUUGUAAUUAUUUGAUGAUUUCUCUGUUUUGACCUAGUGAAUAGCUGGUAGAAUUAUACAGCUUUAACAGUGACAAAAUUCUUGUGUUAGGUCACAUAUAAAAAUUUUAAAGUUAUGUAUAUUAUAAACAUUCAGCUGUAGAGUAGGGUUGAGACAUUUUUAUUAAUCAUUUAAAAAUGUAGUGGUUCAGCAGAUUAACAGGGCAUAGAAAAGAUCACAUUUUUUUUUACAGUCAUCAACAUAUAUUCUGUCAAAAUAGAAAGUAAAUGAAUUUUAAAAAAAUUUCCACUCAACAUUUAAGAAUAUCACAUUGCACUUCCUAUUACCUGCUCCUAACAACUAAGGUACAAAAAAUAAAAUGAAAAUAUAUUUAGAUUUAAGUGUACUUUUAAACAACUAAGACUGAUGAGAUUAGCAUAAUAAUUUUUAAAUGAAUUCCUUGGUCCUUGGGAUUCAUUCUUCUAAAAGAUUCAACAGGCAUAGAUGUCUAUUACAUUAGGAGGUCAUUUUAACGUGUAUUAUCUUUAAGACCCUGCAAAAAAUUUAUAUGCUAUAAAGUCUUAUUUGAGAGGUGUUAGGUAAAUUCUAUUAUGUGUAUUUAAAAAUGUUUUGUCUUAUAGAAUAGAAAAGCUAUUGGAAAGGAUUAAAUGAUGACAAUUUACCUUCAGAAUGUUUGGAAGAAAGAUUGCUGUUUGUUCCUGCAAAGGAAAAUUGCAGCUAUAAUUUUAGUGAGGUGAAUUUUAUUAAAUUUAAGAAAUGUUUUAGGUUACAUUUCUGUACAUUCGAAUUGAUGUAAGAAUUCCCAAAAUCCCAUAGUAGGCUUCUCUUCAUAUACUUUCAUUAAUACUAUUGUAAAGAGCUAAAUUAACUGCAGAAUAAUAAAAAUAAAGCAGAUAAUCUAACGUUCACUGGAGUCUGGCAGCUGAUUCACCAUUGUGAUGGGUGGAUAAGAGUGGAGCCGCGUGCUUUCCUGCCCACUCUCCACUUAAGGAGCAUUUCAUAUUACAUGUCAACUUUGAAUUCCCAGCCAAUUCUCACUUCGAUCAGCUUCACUUACCUUGAUUUUUGUUGACAAAAUGGUAAUUUCCCUAUAUUCUCUAUCUGAACUUUUACUGCACAAACCUGUUCUAAGUAUUACAUUCAAAAUUAAAUAUGAUCUAGAAGUCUUAAGAAAUACAGGUGUCUUGCUUAUGGAAGCAAGUCUAAGUCAAUUAGUGCUGGUAUCGCUUUGACAUCAUACGUCUUAGGAACUAACUAAUGUAUAAUUAUAUCUUACAAAAUGUUUUAGGAAAUCUAUUUUACUUUUUAUAGUUACUAUUUAGUCUCAUAACUAUGUUGUCUCCUCAUUAGAUAUUAUUUAAAAUGCAAAGAAAAACAAAUUGAAUGUUAGAACAAUUGGGUGACUAGCCUAAGAUUAAUACUACUAGUUCAAUGAAGCCAUAGCAUUUUAUACAAGAUUUAUUUAUUGCUGGAAGACUCUUAGUAUUUUGAAGCAAGCUGCGUCUGUAUUGAAUGAAUAAGACAUAUAGUAAAAUCCAUUUUAUGCUGUCAAAAUCUUCAUAAAAAUAGAUAUUGUUUAUAUAAGUGUAUACAUGUAUUAAUUACAUUCUACAUCUAGGAAUAUGAAAAUAAAGCGGUACAUUUGAGUAAAAAUUGGUAUGUUCUUUUUUCUUUCUUCCUUUUUUUUUCAAGACAGGGUUUCUCUGUGUAGUUCUGGCUGUCCUGGAACUCACUCUGUAGACCAGGCUGGCCUCGAACCCAGAAAUCCACCUGCCUCUGCCUCCCAAGUGCUAGGAUUAAAGGCGUGCGCCACCAUGCCUGGCUGGUAUGUUAUUUUAACCUGACCGAUAAAGCUGUAAUGUUUAUUUGAGGGUAUAUGUAUUGGCAUAAAAUACAUAACUGGGUGUUUUUGUAACAGUAAUCUUUAGAGACAGAAGUAGGGGGCUCAAGCCUUUGAUUUAUAGCAAGUUUGACCUGGGCAAAUGGGAUCCUGAUUCAAAAUACACAUGAAUACACACAUAGAAUGAAUGGCUGUUCUAGUAUGUCCCACUUGAUUUUCAUUGUAAAUUUGAACUUUUGGUGGUAUGAAAUACAUCUGAAUCCUGCAAUGAAAAUAAAGCCUUUAUGGCUGAAGAGAUGAAGCAGCACUAAAACCACAAAUGCUCUUGUACAGGACCUGAGUUUGAUUCCGACCAAUUGCAUCAGGGGAUGUUUAAGUGCCUAUACCUCCUACUCCAGGGGCAUCAGAUACCUCUGGCCUCUGUGGGGACCUGCAUUAAGGUACACAUACCUAAACCAGAAUAUGUACAUAUGCUUAACGAAAAGCAAAUCUUUUAAAAUCACACCUCUUUGGGCUAAUUUAAAUAAGGAAUGGACUGCCACUUAAAAAACUUCUAAGAGUUGUUAAAAGUUAUUUUUUUUUCUUUCAAUAUAUGUUCAUUUAAAUUUUUGAAUGUUAUAUUGACCAUUACUUUAAAUUUCAGGCUCCUUUCUCCUUACAGGAUAUCCCAGGCUUGUUGGCAUUUGGCAUUGGUUUGUUGAUUAAAGUACAUCAUAACUUAGAAAGAUGAGUACUCUGAUAUAUUAUGUUGUACAAAGCUGACAAAGGUAGAAUGGCUUAACAAUACUUAUCCAAUGCAAGUGUAGAAACACUGAAGAGAAGGUGUAUAUAAUAGGUAAUGGUCCACUUUGUAGAAAGCCAUUUGGGAUUGCUUACUUCAAUCAAUGUAACUAGAUAUAUACAUGAACUAAAACAAACCAUUUAGACAUUCAUGGAUUCUAAAAAAAAAUGUGCAUAAAGAAACCAUUCAUAAUGUGAGAACUGAAAACAAUCAAAUUCCUAUAAGAUGUAGAAAGAAUAACCUAAAUAAAAUUAUCAUCAGAAACCCAUGGAACUGAAAAAAUAAAACUAUUUCAAUGGCAUGAUAUAGAUGAAUUUUAAACAUAUAAUUUUGAGUGAAAGACAGUAAAAAUGCAUACCACAGAUAUGAAACCCAGUCAUUGACAGAAUGAGGGCACAAGAGAGCAAGCUGGGUGUUGAAAAUAAUUUGUACUGAACAGGGAGAUUCUGAGGACAGUCCUAUAAAGCACAACUUUUCCACAAUGGGUACAAAUUUUUGCAUGUAAAUUAUAACUCCAGCAAAGUACAGUGUGUAUGAAUAUGUCCAUGUUUGUCAACUUACAGAUUUUUUCUAAAGGAUAAAGAUUCUGGAGAAAAUAAACUUAGAAGAAGGUAACUAUUUGUAUGAUGGAAAGGACAACAAAGUGGCCUCAAAGGAUUUUGAAUUAGUACUCCACAUGGUUAUGUGGCUUACAAGAGUGUGGCCCAAGGAAAUGGGAUUUUGAUUGUUGAUAACUGUUUAUAUAAUGCACUUGAAAUAUUGAUAUUUAAAAUUAUCUUAUUUAUAAAUUCAUAUUUUUAAUUUUAGGGAAAUUUUAUGAACUAUCUUAUUUGGUGAAAUGUAAAAAUUUUUUUUUAUUUAAGAUAAGUAUGUCAAAGUAAUUAUUGACUUUGAGUUUUAUCACAAUAUUCCUUAAAACCACGAGCUAGAGAGGAGUAUUUUGCAUGAUCAAAAAAAAAAAAAAAAAAAA
Molecule: long non-coding RNA, 15791 nt
Organism: Mus musculus (house mouse)
Lineage: Eukaryota; Metazoa; Chordata; Mammalia; Rodentia; Muridae
Product: predicted gene, 46433
Exons: 2
Source: RefSeq, a predicted model, not a curated record